CUGUCGAGCUCAAACAGGCUCUGAAAAGCCAAAGUCAAGAAAUCGACUCUAACUGGUCUAACAACCAACGAGUAACGUGCCCUCAGCACAAUCUGACGCCAAAAAGGCGAUACGGGUCCACCGUCACUCUAACGGCACCCCACAGUCCGGAACAACCUGAACAACACUGUAAAAAUCCACUCGGCAUACCAGCACGAGCGUAAAUGUAUACUAAACCA
This 218-nucleotide long non-coding RNA is filed under the name Ananas comosus (pineapple). RNAcentral describes it as "long non-coding RNA (ACOM_LNC023889)". Lineage: Eukaryota; Viridiplantae; Streptophyta; Magnoliopsida; Poales; Bromeliaceae. The record is from RNAcentral.